GAUGAACGCUGGCGGCGUGCCUAAUACAUGCAAGUCGAACGAAACUUCUUUAUCACCGAGUGCUUGCACUCACCGAUACAGGGUUGAGUGGCGAACGGGUGCGUAACACGUGGGCAACCUGCCCAAAAGAGGGGGAUAACACUUGGAAACAGGUGCUAAUACCGCAUAACCAUAGUUACCGCAUGGUAACUAUGUAAAAGGUGGCUAUACUACCGCUUUUGGAUGGUCCCGCGGCGCAUUAGCUAGUUGGUAGGGUAAAGGCUUACCAAGGCAAUGAUGCGUAGCCGAAGUGAGAGGUUGAUCGGCCACAUUGGGACUGAGACACGGCCCAAACUCCUACGGGAGGCAGCAGUAGGGAAUCUGCCACAAUGGGCGAAAGCCUGAUGGAGCAACGCCGCGUGGGUGAAGAAGGUCUUCGGAUCGUAAAACCCUGUUGUUAGAGAAGAAAGUGCGUGAGAGUAACUGUUCACGUUUCGACGGUAUCUAACCAGAAAGCCACGGCUAACUACGUG
RNAcentral lists this ribosomal RNA (512 nucleotides) under uncultured bacterium. RNAcentral's name for it is "partial 16S ribosomal RNA". It matches the Rfam family "Bacterial small subunit ribosomal RNA", at positions 28 to 507 of the family's 1533-position model. The record is from RNAcentral.